This is a transfer RNA of Ipomoea nil (Japanese morning glory), 72 nucleotides long. It matches the Rfam family "tRNA". Rfam says of the family: Transfer RNA (tRNA) molecules are approximately 80 nucleotides in length. The record is from Rfam. Lineage: Eukaryota; Viridiplantae; Streptophyta; Magnoliopsida; Solanales; Convolvulaceae.
GUCGUUGUAGUAUAGUGGUGAGUAUCCCCGCCUGUCACGCGGGAGACCCGGGUUCGAUCCCCGACAACGGCG